UAGAAAUGAUGAUGAUGAACCAGUAAAGUCUGAUCAAGCAUGGAUAACCUCAUUGGUGGCUUCUGGCUGUGUUACUGAGAAGAAUCAUCAACUGAAGAAGUUCAGAUGAAACCUUUCAAUCUAUUUAACAUAGUUUAUCCUUUCUGCUUUAGAACGAUUCUUUCUGUUCCAAUAUCAAUAGUUGGUGUGAGCAUACAUUUCAUCUUAGUUCCAUCCUUCUCUUUUAUCUCCG
RNAcentral lists this unclassified non-coding RNA (232 nucleotides) under Hevea brasiliensis (rubber tree). The record is from RNAcentral. Lineage: Eukaryota; Viridiplantae; Streptophyta; Magnoliopsida; Malpighiales; Euphorbiaceae.